UACGAAGGGGACUAGCGUUGUUCGGAAUCACUGGGCGUAAAGCGCACGUAGGCGGAUUCGUAAGUCAGGGGUGAAAUCCCGGGGCUCAACCUCGGAACUGCCUUUGAUACUGCGGGUCUUGAGUCCGAUAGAGGUGGGUGGAAUUCCUAGUGUAGAGGUGAAAUUCGUAGAUAUUAGGAAGAACACCGGUGGCGAAGGCGGCUCACUGGCUCGUAACUGACGCUCAUGCACGACAGCGUGGGGAUCAAACAGG
RNAcentral lists this ribosomal RNA (253 nucleotides) under uncultured bacterium. RNAcentral's name for it is "partial 16S ribosomal RNA". It matches the Rfam family "Bacterial small subunit ribosomal RNA", at positions 524 to 776 of the family's 1533-position model. The record is from RNAcentral.